RNAcentral lists this ribosomal RNA (434 nucleotides) under uncultured bacterium. RNAcentral's name for it is "partial 16S ribosomal RNA". It matches the Rfam family "Bacterial small subunit ribosomal RNA", at positions 29 to 507 of the family's 1533-position model. The record is from RNAcentral.
AGCGAACGCUGGCGGCAGGCCUAACACAUGCAAGUCGAACGACCCUUUCGUGGUUAGUGGCGGACGGGUGAGUAACACGUCGGAACGUGCCUUUAGGUUCGGAAUUCUUCAGGUUAACUUGUGCUAAUAUCGAAUGUGCCCUUCUGGGGCAAGAUUAAUCGCCUCUAGAGCGGCCGGCGUCUGUUUAGCUAGUUGGUUGAGGUUAUGGCUCUCCAAGGCGAGGAACAGUACCUGGUCUGAGAGGAUGAUCAGCCACAUUGGUACGGAGACACGGCCCAAAAUCCUAGGGGAGGGAGGAGAGGGGGAUCGAGCGCAAUGGGGGAAAGGCAGACGGAGCCAUGGCGGGUGAAUGAUGAAGGUCGGAGGAAAGUGAAAUUGUUUAACCGGGGGCGAUAAUGACGGUACCCGGAGAAGAAGCACCGGCUAACUUCGUG